GUCAAUGGCCAUAUCACCCUGAAGCACCCAAUCUCAUCUAAUUGGAAGCUAAGCAGGUUUGGGCCUGGUUAGUACUUGGAUAGGAGAACCUGGCCUUAAUACU
This 103-nucleotide ribosomal RNA is filed under the name Nannospalax galili (Upper Galilee mountains blind mole rat). Lineage: Eukaryota; Metazoa; Chordata; Mammalia; Rodentia; Spalacidae. The record is from RNAcentral.